RNAcentral lists this small RNA (28 nucleotides) under Bombyx mori (domestic silkworm). RNAcentral describes it as "ovarian small RNA-8067". The record is from RNAcentral. Lineage: Eukaryota; Metazoa; Arthropoda; Insecta; Lepidoptera; Bombycidae.
UGACAGCUACAAAUGGGGCUCGGCCACG